RNAcentral lists this ribosomal RNA (775 nucleotides) under uncultured Neocallimastigales. RNAcentral describes it as "partial large subunit ribosomal RNA". It matches the Rfam family "Eukaryotic large subunit ribosomal RNA", at positions 26 to 640 of the family's 3401-position model. The record is from RNAcentral. Lineage: Eukaryota; Fungi; Neocallimastigomycota; Neocallimastigomycetes; Neocallimastigales.
CGCAUCUGUGCAUGCAGCAUAUCAAUAAGCGGAGGAAAAGAAACUAACAAGGAUUCCCCUAGUAACGGCGAGUGAAGCGGGAAGAGCUCAAAUUUGAAAUCUUAAAGGGUUUCCCUUUACGAAUUGUAGUUUAAAGAAGUGUUUUCUGUUGAGGUUUUGGUAAAAGUUCUUUGGAAUAGGACAUCAUAGAGGGUGAGAAUCCCGUAUUUGACCUUUACUUUCAACUUUGUGAUACACUUUCAAAGAGUCGGAUUGUUUGGGAAUGCAGUCCAAAAUGGGUGGUAAAUUUCAUCUAAAGCUAAAUAUUGGCGAGAGACCGAUAGCGAACAAGUACCGUGAGGGAAAGAUGAAAAGAACUUUGAAAAGAGAGUUAAACAGUACGUGAAAUUGUCAAAAGGGAAGCGUUUGACACCAGUGUUGUUUUUCUGAAAAUCAAUUAAAGAACUGUUUAUGCUAAGUUGUUUAGACUUUAUCAGCUAACUGUUUAGUUUUGAGCUUUUCUUUAAUGCACUUUUCAGUUAACAAGUCAACAUCAAUUUCUUUUGCUGUAAAAAAGCUAGAGGAAGGUGGCUUGAGAUUCGUCUUAAGUGUUUAUAGCCUCUUGCCUAUGCAGUCGGAUGAGAUUGAGGUCUGCAGCGUAGAUCCUUCGGGGCUAAAUGCAUUUGUGCUAAGUUAUAGCAUUUUAUAGACAACUUGUUGACUAUGAUUUGUCUUGUAGCUUACUCGCUUAUGUUAUUUUACCUACGCUUAGGAUGUUGAUAUGCAUGACUGAUAU